ACAAUAAAAUACUGUCGAACUAAGUUAUGUAAAAAUAAUCUUUUUUUUUUUCUAUGUUAGUCGUUUCGAGAGGUCAAAUCGUUGUUGACGUUGGUAUUAACGUUAGUUAUAAAAUGUGAUUAUUGUAAAGUUAAUAUAAUUUAUGAUGUUGAGGUGGAACCAAUCUGUACUUUUAAGAAUAGUGAAGGGUUAAUUACAUAGACCAAUAAUAUUAGUCCUACUAGUACUAAUAAUAGUUUUCGUGUUGUUUUUUUUUAAUAUAAAAACCUGCUUUAAUGCAGAAACUACGAAAGGUGCAUUGUAUGAACGUUUGGAUGCCAUCAGUGUUCAACUUUUUUUCGAAGUUCGUUUUUGUAUGUCUAACAUUAGGCUUAACGUUAUUGAGUACUGAGACUGGUGUUAAAAUAUGUGGUAGCAUUCCAUUAGUAAUCAAUUAUACAGCAUCGUUGGAGGUUCAUCAUCAGUGUAGCUCACAACAUGAUUGUACUCAUCUGAAAGGCUAUGUCUGGUGCAACCCUUUUGGUAAUAAAUGUGAAUGUGAAAGAGGAACAUUUAUGUUAAGUUCAAGCUAUAAGUGUGUUAAAGUAGCCAGGCUCCAUGAUGUGUGUGAAUCACCAGAACAGUGUAAGAAAUGGGACCCAUUGUCUACAUGUACUCUGACCUAUGAGUCCAAUAUCUUAUCCUCUGCAUGCAAGUGUGAUACAAACUACCAAGAAGAGAUUGGUUUUAACAAAACAACAUGUGUCAUUCAGAGAUCAUUUUUUCCCAAAAAUGGGAUUCACCAACAUUUUGACACCAGAGACUCUGUGCCUAUAUUAAUGGGAUGUGUUGCUGCAGGCUUGGCUCUUCUUGCAUGCAGUGCUGGAAUAGCUCAGCUUUUGAGAAAACGACACCAGCAGUUUCGAUCUGGUCCAGUUAAUCAUGAAGAAGAAACUAGUAAUCUACAGAGGAUAUCUAUGGUUUCAACAAGGUCUACACGUCCUACGACAACAACAAUAACCACCCAGCCAGCAGAGGAAAUAUCUCUCGCUCACAUCAAUCAAGAGGACCUCCCACCAAGUUAUGAGGAGGCUAUCAAGUAUUCCUCUCCAGUAACUUUGUUGCCUCAUUCAGAAAAAGAAGAGCAACAGGCGUAAUGUUCUGUCGAGCAAAUCGUACUCCCUCAUAACGAAGAAAAGGCCAAUAAGGAUUUAAUCAUUGUAAUUGUAAUUGGUGUCGUCAUUGUUCUUAAUACUUUUACCUUUUGGAUGUGUGGGCUAUGCAGUUUUAUCACGAGAAUGCAUUCCAGAAGUAAUUCUGACUCGUCUAUUCCCGAUCAUCCACAUAUUAUUGUGACUGAAGAUGUUUCUAAUUCCGAUGAGGGACUUCCAUAUGAUGUCAGUAUUACGUGAGAAAAUUUCACACACGUGGGGAAAUAAUAUUUUGGGCAAGUCAAAGUAUAUGGAUGUGAUGUCCUUGAAAAUGUCAGUUAUAUAAUUAAGUUUUGGAAUAUAUGCACAUGAAUAGCCUUUUACAAUAACAAAAUGUUCCUCAACGAGUAAGAAGAGAGAAUAAUAAUUCCAGAAUUCAAAACAAGAUGAACUUUCAUUUGAAAACCCUAAUCCUUUGCCGAAUAUAUGAUAAAACACUCAAAAUAGAACUACGGAUGUUUUAAAGCUGAUAAUGUUCCGAUGUUCUAAAAGACAUAUAUCAACAAAAUAGAACUACGGAUGUUUUAAAGCUGAUAAUGUUCCGAUGUUCUAAAAGACAUAUAUCAACAAAAUAGAACUACGGAUGUUUUAAAGCUGAUAAUGUUCCGAUGUUCUAAAAGACAUAUAUCAACAAAAUAGAACUAUUGAUGUUUUAAAGCUGAUAAUGUUCCGAUGUUCUAAAAGACAUAUAUCAACAAAAUAUAACGCUAAACAGCAUAUUAAGUUUAUUACGGAUACUAAUAAGUACAUCUGUGAACAUGACAAGUGUCGGAUAAUACAUCUUCUAUAUUGAUCAGUCAAGUUUUUUGUUAUCAACGUUGCUAGAAGUGUUUCGGCAUUGUGCUUCACACUUGCAGUGGAUACUACAAGCAAUACCCUUCUUGGAAGACCCACAUGACACACAUAGUCAUUGACUGCUCUUACACGAACAUCUAACAUUUGUAAGAAGUUCCACGAGUGCUGCAGCUUUGUCGGUGAUUACAGGUACAACGGAGUGAAAUUAGGCUGCCCUGCAUGUUGGAGGCAUGCGUUGAAUAGGGAAAAAUCGGCGAUAUCACCAUCAAGUAUCGCAUUUCAUCAACAUUUUUUAAUUUUGCACUGUUCGUGUAGUAAGCGUGCAUAAAUUUCUCACCGAUAUUCUGCAGCAAGUCGUUUGAUGAAGAUGUGUCCCUGAAAUUGGGUACUUUUGAACGCCAUUUUUGUGAUGACUGACGUAUUUUGAGAUGCUUAACAUUACCGAUUCCAUACAAAGUGAAAUCGUGUCGUAUCCAGAACUAGCAUGAGCAAAAUGUAAGCAUAUGCAUAAUUCUCUCCCGAUAACUUCUUUCGCUAUCCUGAUUGAAAUGUACUGUUACUUUGUAUUUAGGAAUAUAUCUGCUGAAUGUUUUGCGUGAUUAAAUAGCAAUAUUAGAAUAUGUGUAUCGUCUGCUGUGAUAAUUAUCUGUUCAUGGUUUUCUAUGAGUUCAAGUGCCAUUCGAACUAUCACCACGUCAGCAUCUCCUUCCUGCCCUGCAUGAUUUACGUUGAUCCCAACUGACUUAAGGUGAAUUGCCAACAGGGUAAUGAAGUUUCGUUUGUUACGUUUCCUCGAUAAAAAUGAUGCAUUGUCUGCAGGAACACAUAAUAUUUGCUGUAGCCACUGGGGUAAUGAAGUUUUGUUUAUUACGUUUGUUCGAUAAGAAUAUGUCUUGUCUGCAGGAAUUGGGGUAUUGUUUUUGAGCACCAUGUCAGGACAUGAUAUUUGCUGUAGCCACUGUUUUUUCUGUUCUGGUCCUUUUGUCGUUUCUACUUCAUAGCUAUCAAAGAUCACCAAUACCGUUCGCUUGCUGUAUUCGUACUACAGUGGAUACCAAAGAGUUAAACACAGUGUCCAUUGUUCCAGCUUUGUGCCAUGGAAUAUGAUGAAUCAGAGCACAGCCGUCAUACAAUCUGCCUGACUUGGUGGAACAAGAUAAUUGAUUUGUUAUAUAUGUACUCAUUUGAAGCAAAUGAUUUGCUAGUUGUAACUUCUGGAUUUGCCUCAUACUUCCAUCAGACCUUAGUUUUGGAGUUGAGGAAUUAUGUUUUCCAAGUCCAGCAGUACUGUGUUGAGCUUGUUCUACAUUUAUUGCAAGCGUGUAAGCCUUGUAGCACUUUUCAUGCACAUGGUAUUUUUCAGAAGGCGAAGAUUGCACUUUCUAGUGAAGCUCAUCUCCAAGAUUUCGUGAUUCCUCUAGCAGCGAAAAUAAUCACUUCAGACCUAAUGUUCUACCACCACCAUCACUAAUUUUACUACCAAAAACUAUAUAAAGACAUGUUGAUGUCUUAUCUAUAGUGAAAAGAAACAAAAUUAACACAAGUAACUGACAGCAAAAGCCGUAAUAGCAGCAAGAACAACAGAGCAAUAAUAGUAUAUUAAUAGCAGAUGCAGCAGCAGUAGUAGUAAUAGUAGUGUUACAAGUAGUAGCUGAGCAUUAAUAUUACCAUCAGUAGUCGCGACUGUCUCUAUGUAUUGUCUUGAAGUACUCUUUUCAUAAAUUUAUUUGAUGUUCGCUGUAUUAAUUAAUUAAAUAUUUGUGUAUUCAUACGUGGUUAUUGAAUUCAAACAUAAUAUUCAAUUACUAUAGUUAUCCUCAAAUACAAUCAUAAGUGCCUAUUUUCAUUUGAGACAGAAUGGAGCUUUUGUCAAUAUCAAAUAUGUCUGUCACAUUCACCUUAACAUUCCCAAAGUCUCUAAGCCUUAAUGUUCUAAAGUAUUGAAGUUUCAAUUUUCUUAUAAAAUCAUGCAAACAAUUAUAUUAGGUGGAUUUAUUGAAUCAUUAUUAUGAAUAAAAGUCUGUGCAAAAACAUUGCUAUAUUUAUUCAGUGUUUAAUAGUAAUCUUUUCACACACAAAAAACUGCAUUGUAUAGGCCUAACUUUGACCUGUAAAACAAAACAACAAAAUUCCCCAUGUAAGAAUUUGUGUGAAUUUUUCUUGCUGCUUUCAGAAACCCAUAUCCAUGUUUUAAGACCAAAACUUGGUUGUUAUGGAAAAUGUCCAGGUUGGCCAUAUUUUGUGUCAAUUUUUACUGGACUAUUAUUCCUUAUUUUAAAAACGUCUUUUAUAGUAAGAUUGUGCCAUAAAGAUUAAAAUUUGCUCUUUAAAAUUCUGUGAAAUUAAUUCAUUUUACAUAAAGAAUGUAAUCUGUUUACAAUUUACAUGAACUGUUUCUUUUAUUAUUGAUUUUAUACAAAAACACAAAUUAGAAAUAAACGUCAAAUAUUGUUCUUGAGAUAUGAUAUAACUAAAAAAAUACAACUAAUAACUACUUUGGUGAUACACUAAUAAGUGUUUACGUUAUUGGUAAUUUUUACUCCUCCUUUGUCCGCAGUCUCCUUUUUUCUAAACAUAUUUGCUAGUUACAUACAUGUAUAUCAGGCAAAUGUUUUAUUUAAAGACACAAUGUAUACAACCAAGUGUUUUCUAGGUCAUUACGAGUAUACAAGAAAAGUUAAUCCUACUAAAACUAUAUAAUAACUAGUGCUCUAUGCGUAAAAUUAACACAUCAAAAUAAUAUCCCGUUCGUUAUUAAAGAGGGUGCAAAUAAAGAAAAUGGUUUAAAUUUAAACACCAAAUGAAACAAAAGGGCAUCAUUACAUUUAUAUUUUGUUUAAUGCCAACCUCCGCCUUUGCCUGGUCCCAAGUCCAGGAUGAGAAAGGAG
RNA transcript from Limulus polyphemus (Atlantic horseshoe crab), 4873 nucleotides. RefSeq lists it as uncharacterized. The record is from RefSeq and is a predicted model, not a curated record. Lineage: Eukaryota; Metazoa; Arthropoda; Merostomata; Xiphosura; Limulidae. The transcript has 10 exons.